CUGUCUGCUGUUAGGGUCACCUGGCUGGACACUGCUGCUGUCUUCGGGUCCCCCUGUGGGAGCUGGCCUCCUCCCCGCCCUGGCCUGUGACAUCACUGAGCGGGACAGUAAUUUCUCAGGCCUAGAGGAGGAGGAGGAGGGUGAGGAGUGGAGGAGCCUGGAGCCAGCACACACAGAGCAGGCCCUGCCCUGGCCCCUUCCCCACACCAUUAAUUUAAAAGGGAGAGACAGCAGAGAGGAAGGUGGAGUGAGAUCAGGAAUCCAACACCUGUGACUGACUCUCUGUUUGAAUCCAGCCCUGUGACCCGCAAGGGCUCCUUCUCUGCUCUAUGUCUCGGUCUCCUCACCUACAUAGUGGGGGAAGACGCAGCGCCUGGCGUGUGUGACCUGCGCGGCUUCAUGCCUGGUACGUGUAAGUGUGCUCUGAGCAAGUGCGCGGUACUUUCACCGUCAACCGUGACUGUCGUAACAAGA
This 474-nucleotide long non-coding RNA is filed under the name Chinchilla lanigera (long-tailed chinchilla). Its description in RNAcentral is "lncRNA (ENSCLAG00000028073.1)". Lineage: Eukaryota; Metazoa; Chordata; Mammalia; Rodentia; Chinchillidae. The record is from RNAcentral.